AANAGUUGUAAAUUCCAGUAAUGAAUUUUCUUCUAUCGAUUUUCCGUUUUGCGAUGUUGUCAGGCAUACCGGAAUAAAAGAUAGUAUUGAAGUAACGG
This is a long non-coding RNA of Centruroides sculpturatus (bark scorpion), 98 nucleotides long. RefSeq lists it as uncharacterized. The transcript has 2 exons. NCBI's taxonomy places the organism in Eukaryota, Metazoa, Arthropoda, Arachnida, Scorpiones, Buthidae. The record is from RefSeq and is a predicted model, not a curated record.